RNAcentral lists this ribosomal RNA (502 nucleotides) under uncultured Glomeromycotina. RNAcentral describes it as "partial small subunit ribosomal RNA". It matches the Rfam family "Eukaryotic small subunit ribosomal RNA", at positions 591 to 1092 of the family's 1831-position model. Lineage: Eukaryota; Fungi; Glomeromycota. The record is from RNAcentral.
CCAAUAGCGUAUAUUAAAGUUGUUGCAGUUAAAAAGCUCGUAGUUGAAUUUCGGGGUCUGUCCAUUGGUCGGGCUUCACGGUCCGUACUGGUGUGAUGGGUUCCUACCUUCUGAAUAACCAGCAUGCCAUUCAGUUGGUGCGCCGGGGAAGCAGAGCUAUUACCUUGAAAAAAUUAGAGUGCUUAAAGCAGGCUAGUGCUUGAAUAGAUUAGCAUGGAAUAAUAAAAUAGGACGGCAUGGUUCUAUUUUGUUGGUUUCUAGGAUCACCGUAAUGAUUAAUAGGGAUAGUUGGGGGCAGUAGUAUUCAAUUGUCAGAGGUGAAAUUCUUGGAUUUAUUGAAGACUAACUUCUGCGAAAGCAUUUGCCAAGGAUGUUUUCAUUAAUCAAGAACGAAAGUUAGGGGAUCGAAGACGAUCAGAUACCGUCGUAGUCUUAACCAUAAACUAUGCCGACUAGGGAUCGGACGAUGUUAAUUUUUUAAUGACUCGUUCGGCGCCUUACG